RNAcentral lists this transfer RNA (72 nucleotides) under Camelus dromedarius (Arabian camel). It matches the Rfam family "tRNA". Rfam says of the family: Transfer RNA (tRNA) molecules are approximately 80 nucleotides in length. Their secondary structure includes four short double-helical elements and three loops (D, anti-codon, and T loops). Further hydrogen bonds mediate the characteristic L-shaped molecular structure. tRNAs have two regions of fundamental functional importance: the anti-codon, which is responsible for specific mRNA codon recognition, and the 3' end, to which the tRNAs corresponding amino acid is attached (by aminoacyl-tRNA synthetases). tRNAs cope with the degeneracy of the genetic code in two manners: having more than one tRNA (with a specific anti-codon) for a particular amino acid; and 'wobble' base-pairing, i.e. permitting non-standard base-pairing at the 3rd anti-codon position. The record is from Rfam by way of RNAcentral. RNAcentral also lists the same sequence under 1 other name. Lineage: Eukaryota; Metazoa; Chordata; Mammalia; Artiodactyla; Camelidae.
GUGGGUGUGGCUCGGCGGUAGAGUGUGUGCUUAGCACGCACUAGGUCCUGGGUUCAGUCCCCAGUUCCUCCA